UCUCCGUUGGUGAACCAGCGGAGGGAUCAUUACCGAGUUUAUAACUCCCAAACCCUAUGUGAACUUACCACUUGUUUCUUCGGCGCGCGCUUCGGUGCCGCCGAGCACACUUAAACUCUUUGUUUUUAUAAGCAUUUCUGAGUAGCCGUAAGGCAAAAUACAAAUGAAUCAAAACUUUCAACAACGGGUCUCUUGGUUCUG
Molecule: unclassified non-coding RNA, 201 nt
Filed under: plant metagenome
Description: partial contains small subunit ribosomal RNA, internal transcribed spacer 1, and 5.8S ribosomal RNA
Source: RNAcentral